GAUGAACGCUGGCGGCGUGCCUAAUACAUGCAAGUCGAGCGAACGGACGAGAAGCUUGCUUCUCUGAUGUUAGCGGCGGACGGGUGAGUAACACGUGGAUAACCUACCUAUAAGACUGGGAUAACUUCGGGAAACCGGAGCUAAUACCGGAUAAUAUUUUGAACCGCAUGGUUCAAAAGUGAAAGACGGUCUUGCUGUCACUUAUAGAUGGAUCCGCGCUGCAUUAGCUAGUUGGUAAGGUAACGGCUUACCAAGGCAACGAUGCAUAGCCGACCUGAGAGGGUGAUCGGCCACACUGGAACUGAGACACGGUCCAGACUCCUACGGGAGGCAGCAGUAGGGAACCUUCCGCAAUGGGCGAAAGCCUGACGGAGCAACGCCGCGUGAGUGAUGAAGGUCUUCGGAUCGUANAACUCUGUUAUUAGGGAAGAACAUAUGUGUAAGUAACUGUGCACAUCUUGACGGUACCUAAUCAGAAAGCCACGGCUAACUACGUGCCAGCAGCCGCGGUAAUACGUAGGUGGCAAGCGUUAUCCGGAAUUAUUGGGCGUAAAGCGCGCGUAGGCGGUUUUUUAAGUCUGAUGUGAAAGCCCACGGCUCAACCGUGGAGGGUCAUUGGAAACUGGAAAACUUGAGUGCAGAAGAGGAAAGUGGAAUUCCAUGUGUAGCGGUGAAAUGCGCAGAGAUAUGGAGGAACACCAGUGGCGAAGGCGACUUUCUGGUCUGUAACUGACGCUGAUGUGCGAAAGCGUGGGGAUCAAACAGGAUUAGAUACCCUGGUAGUCCACGCCGUAAACGAUGAGUGCUAAGUGUUAGGGGGUUUCCGCCCCUUAGUGCUGCAGCUAACGCAUUAAGCACUCCGCCUGGGGAGUACGACCGCAAGGUUGAAACUCAAAGGAAUUGACGGGGACCCGCACAAGCGGUGGAGCAUGUGGUUUAAUUCGAAGCAACGCGAAGAACCUUACCAAAUCUUGACAUCCUUUGACAACUCUAGAGAUAGAGCCUUCCCCUUCGGGGGACAAAGUGACAGGUGGUGCAUGGUUGUCGUCAGCUCGUGUCGUGAGAUGUUGGGUUAAGUCCCGCAACGAGCGCAACCCUUAAGCUUAGUUGCCAUCAUUAAGUUGGGCACUCUAAGUUGACUGCCGGUGACAAACCGGAGGAAGGUGGGGAUGACGUCAAAUCAUCAUGCCCCUUAUGAUUUGGGCUACACACGUGCUACAAUGGACAAUACAAAGGGCAGCGAAACCGCGAGGUCAAGCAAAUCCCAUAAAGUUGUUCUCAGUUCGGAUUGUAGUCUGCAACUCGACUACAUGAAGCUGGAAUCGCUAGUAAUCGUAGAUCAGCAUGCUACGGUGAAUACGUUCCCGGGUCU
This 1372-nucleotide ribosomal RNA is filed under the name uncultured bacterium. RNAcentral's name for it is "bacterial SSU rRNA". It matches the Rfam family "Bacterial small subunit ribosomal RNA", at positions 28 to 1381 of the family's 1533-position model. The record is from RNAcentral.